GGCGACGUGGCCAAGCGGCUAAGGCAGAGGACUGCAAAUCCUUUAUCCCCGGUUCGAAUCCGGGCGUCGCCUCCA
This 75-nucleotide transfer RNA is filed under the name Bacillota bacterium. RNAcentral describes it as "tRNA-Cys". It matches the Rfam family "tRNA". Rfam says of the family: Transfer RNA (tRNA) molecules are approximately 80 nucleotides in length. The record is from RNAcentral. Lineage: Bacteria; Bacillati; Bacillota. RNAcentral also lists the same sequence under 1 other name.